AUUGGAAGGGACUCCAGCGCCCAUUUGCAGUUCAGAGCCGGCGAGAUGCAGGAGUGUCCUUCUGUCCUCGCCACUUGGCCAGCUUCUGCGUGUUUGGCAGCUCAGGUGACUUGUGGUGGGGGCCCUCGAUCAACACUUCCAUCCCGCUGAAUUCCUAGAAGACAGGAAUUUAUGGUGUGAGAGCUCCAGUCCCCGCAGACCCACUGCCAAGGUCAACAGCACGAGGCGGGCAUCCCUGCCAAGUGGGGAGUGGAGUCGUGGCUUUAGGAGUUGGUUGCAAGGAAAAACCAAAGUACGUGCAUUAAAAAAGAAAAAAAAAAAAAAGAA
This 327-nucleotide long non-coding RNA is filed under the name Homo sapiens (human). RNAcentral's name for it is "HSALNT0124298". The record is from RNAcentral. Lineage: Eukaryota; Metazoa; Chordata; Mammalia; Primates; Hominidae.